GUGUAUAUAUAUGUGUGUGUGUAUGUGUGUGUAUACACACACACACACACACACACACAUAUACAUACACACUA
This is a non-coding RNA of Podarcis lilfordi (Lilford's wall lizard), 74 nucleotides long. The record is from the annotation of a GenBank genome assembly. Lineage: Eukaryota; Metazoa; Chordata; Lepidosauria; Squamata; Lacertidae.